GUGGAUUAGAUACCCGAGUAGUCCUAGCCGUAAACGAUGGAUACUAGGCGUGGCUUGUAUCGACCCGAGCCGUGCCGAAGCUAACGCGUUAAGUAUCCCGCCUGGGGAGUACGCACGCAAGUGUGAAACUCAAAGGAAUUGACGGGGGCCCGCACAAGCGGUGGAGUAUGUGGUUUAAUUCGAUGCAACGCGAAGAACCUUACCAAGACUUGACAUGUCGCGAACCCUGGUGAAAGCUGGGGGUGCCUUCGGGAGCGCGAACACAGGUGGUGCACGGCCGUCGUCAGCU
RNAcentral lists this ribosomal RNA (289 nucleotides) under uncultured bacterium. RNAcentral describes it as "partial 16S ribosomal RNA". It matches the Rfam family "Bacterial small subunit ribosomal RNA", at positions 773 to 1060 of the family's 1533-position model. The record is from RNAcentral.